Molecule: transfer RNA, 82 nt
Filed under: Bifidobacterium xylocopae
Lineage: Bacteria; Bacillati; Actinomycetota; Actinomycetes; Bifidobacteriales; Bifidobacteriaceae
Description: tRNA-Leu
Rfam family: tRNA
About the family: Transfer RNA (tRNA) molecules are approximately 80 nucleotides in length. Their secondary structure includes four short double-helical elements and three loops (D, anti-codon, and T loops). Further hydrogen bonds mediate the characteristic L-shaped molecular structure. tRNAs have two regions of fundamental functional importance: the anti-codon, which is responsible for specific mRNA codon recognition, and the 3' end, to which the tRNAs corresponding amino acid is attached (by aminoacyl-tRNA synthetases). tRNAs cope with the degeneracy of the genetic code in two manners: having more than one tRNA (with a specific anti-codon) for a particular amino acid; and 'wobble' base-pairing, i.e. permitting non-standard base-pairing at the 3rd anti-codon position.
Source: RNAcentral
GCGCACGUGGCGGAAUCGGUAGACGCGCAGGAUUUAGGUUCCUGUGACUUCGGUCGUGGGGGUUCAAGUCCCCCCGUGCGCA